UUAAAAUUGUCAUUUCAUAUAUCACACAUUUCAUCAUAUGACAUAUCACAAACAUUGUUGUAAUGAUUUGAUAAUUCUUCAGUUUUAUAUACUGUACACUUGUUCCACAGUAGUUCCAACUUCCAAACUUACAAUUAAUUCUUGGCCAUCAAUUAGUACACGAGUGGUAGUAGGAAUUAUUUUGGUCUGUUCAUGAAUGAAUUCUCAUAUGGAAGAUCGGCCUGAAUCAGCUAGCCAUAUGUUCAUGUUGAUGUGUGCCAGGCCUGAAGUUCCUGGAGGUCAGUGCUUUCUACG
RNAcentral lists this long non-coding RNA (294 nucleotides) under Hordeum vulgare. RNAcentral describes it as "long non-coding RNA (HVUL_LNC005699)". Lineage: Eukaryota; Viridiplantae; Streptophyta; Magnoliopsida; Poales; Poaceae. The record is from RNAcentral.